AGUGAACGCUGGCGGUAGGCCUAACACAUGCAAGUCGAACGGCAGCACAGUAAGAGCUUGCUCUUACGGGUGGCGAGUGGCGGACGGGUGAGGAAUACAUCGGAAUCUACUUUUUCGUGGGGGAUAACGUAGGGAAACUUACUCUAAUACCGCAUACGACCUACGGUUGAAAGCAGUGGAUCUUCGGACCUUGCGCGAUUGAAUUAGCCGAUGUCGGAUUAGCUAGUUGGCGGGGUAAAGGCCCACCAAGUCGACGAUCCGUAGCUGGUCUGAGAGGAUGAUCAGCCACACUGGAACUGAGACACGGUCCAGAGUCCUACGGGAGGCAGCAGUGGGGAAUAUUGGACAAUGGGCGCAAGCAUGAUACAGCCAGACCGCGUGGGAGAAGAAGGCCUUCGGGUUGUAAAGACCUUUUGUUGGGAAAGAAAAGCAGCAGGUUAAUACCACGCUGUUCUGACGGUAACCAAAGAAUAAGCACCGGCUAACUUCGUG
This 492-nucleotide ribosomal RNA is filed under the name uncultured bacterium. Its description in RNAcentral is "partial 16S ribosomal RNA". It matches the Rfam family "Bacterial small subunit ribosomal RNA", at positions 29 to 507 of the family's 1533-position model. The record is from RNAcentral.